UCGGGCAGCUAGCGUGGGACCCGUGCAACAGGCCAAAAGCAGGCUGUCGACAAGCAGGAGGGGCGUGAACGUAGUCCCCUACUACCAGAAAUGAUGAAGUCGCAGUCACGAUUUGGGGGAUUUGCAGGAGUCUACAGGAGGAGUCCACAAUACAGCUCACUUCAUUCAAAGAAAAUGUUGCAGAGACUGUUGAUAUCAUCUGUACUAUUCCAUAUGUGUGAUAUUAACCAUUUCAGAUCAACUGUUUUUUGUAAUACCUCUUGAAGCCGUUGAUGAAUGCAGCAUAAUUCAUGUAAUGUAUUCACGUUACUGGACAUAUUGUUUUCAAUUAAAUUACAGAUUAUUAUAUCAAAAGUA
This is a long non-coding RNA of Micropterus dolomieu (smallmouth bass), 357 nucleotides long. RefSeq lists it as uncharacterized. The transcript has 2 exons. NCBI's taxonomy places the organism in Eukaryota, Metazoa, Chordata, Actinopteri, Centrarchiformes, Centrarchidae. The record is from RefSeq and is a predicted model, not a curated record.